UACGUAGGGUGCGAGCGUUGUCCGGAAUUAUUGGGCGUAAAGAGCUCGUAGGCGGUCUGUCGCGUCGGUCGUGAAAACUUGGGGCUUAACCCUGAGCUUGCGGUCGAUACGGGCAUGACUGGAGUUCGGCAGGGGAGACUGGAAUUCCUGGUGUGGCGGUGAAAUGCGCAGAUAUCAGGAGGAACACCGGUGGCGAAGGCGGGUCUCUGGGCCGAUACUGACGCUGAGGAGCGAAAGCGUGGGGAGCGAACAGG
RNAcentral lists this ribosomal RNA (254 nucleotides) under uncultured bacterium. RNAcentral's name for it is "partial 16S ribosomal RNA". It matches the Rfam family "Bacterial small subunit ribosomal RNA", at positions 524 to 776 of the family's 1533-position model. The record is from RNAcentral.